RNAcentral lists this ribosomal RNA (325 nucleotides) under uncultured bacterium. Its description in RNAcentral is "partial 16S ribosomal RNA". It matches the Rfam family "Bacterial small subunit ribosomal RNA", at positions 28 to 334 of the family's 1533-position model. The record is from RNAcentral.
GAUGAACGCUGGCGGCGUGCCUAAUACAUGCAAGUCGAGCGAGCGGAACCAACAGAUUUACUUCGGUAAUGACGUUGGGAAAGCGAGCGGCGGAUGGGUGAGUAACACGUGGGGAACCUGCCCCUAAGUCUGGGAUACCAUUUGGAAACAGGUGCUAAUACCGGAUAAUAAAGCAGAUCGCAUGGGGGAAUCAUGAAAGCUACAUGCGCUAAGAGAGAGCUUUGCGUCCCAUUAGCUCGUUGGUGAGAUAACGGCCCACCAAGGCAAUGAUGGGUAGCCGGCCUGAGAGGGUGAACGGCCUCAAGGGGACUGAGACACGGCCCUU